GAAAAAAAGAGGUAUCAGGUUGUUUAAAUGCUUUGGCAGCUUGUCCCCUGGGUCAGCUGAAGCCCUCAUUGCCCGGUUGUUGACUGAGACAGGUUCAGCAGGAGCUCAACGCAUUCCAUCUUCUCUAUGUGUUUAUGUUCCAGCAGGCCGGGCUUUGAGCUGCCAGUGGGUGACUCAGAGGCCAGAGUUUGUUCUGUUCUGUUCUUGCUGAGGCAGCCGGAGUCCCCUCUGCAUGACCCUCCUAAUACCUGUCCCCUAUUGAGGCCACCUUGGCCACUAACUGCUCAGUGGCUCAGUUCAAGAACCCACCUGCAGUGCAGGAGCCGCAGGAGACUCGGGUUCCAUCCCUGGGUCAGGAAGAUCCUCUGGAGGAGGAAAUGGCAACCCACUCCAGUAUUCUUGCCUGGAAAAUCCCAUGGACUGUAGUGGGCUACAGUCCAUGGGGUCACAAAGAGUCAGACUCGACUGAGCACACACGAAAACAUAUGCACACUGCUCUAAGCCCAGUGCAGCUCACCAGCCAACAGAACAGAGGCAAAGGGAGAGUGGUGGGAGGGGAACCUCCAGGUGGGCACCUGCGCACUUGGACAGGAGACCCAAGUGCUCGAGGGAGACGGAGUACUGCUGUGUAACGAACCAGCCCAGACCCUAAUGGCUUAAGAAUAAUCGUGUAUUCUGCCACAAACCUAAGCUGAGCAGGACUCAGCGGGGAUGGCUUCUCUGUGCUCCAUGCGGCCUCUGGGGCAACUCAACUAGAAUCCACUUUCAAGAUGGUGCAUCACGCAGCCAACAAGUUAGCGCUGGCUACCAGCUAGGAGCUUUGAUUCCUCAUCACAAGGACUGCUCACUCCACAGGGCUUUCUGGACUUCACAACCCAGAGGCUGAAUUCCCAGGGCGAGUGCCCCCAGAAUCAGACCAGUGUCUCGAAUCCUGGGCCUGGAACCUGGCCCAGUGUCACAUUCAUUCUAGCCUAUGGGUACGUCAGUCUCAGAACCUCAGAUUUAAGAGGGUACGGACACAGCAUCACAAAAGAACAUUAAAUUCGUAGAGAAGUGACAAGACAAAGGAGAAGUACUCUGAGCUUCUAGGAGUGGCAAAUUGUGGAAAGAUCCUUGCCAAGGGUUGAGCGAUAAUUGAACAUGGCAACAAGUCUGCUUUGAUCUUCAUGAGGAAUUUCAGUGUGGGUAGCACUCAACUGCCUGGUAUUCAUUCUGCUGUGGAUCCAAUUCAAUCCAGUUAUUUCAGUGUACUCAUGAAAUGCCUACUAUGUGCUGGACUCAGCACCUUAGAGACAGACUCAGGAACUGAUCAUCUGUGGACCACCUGUGUGUGCCCUGUAGCCAAAGACCACCAAGAACAAAGUUGGGUUUACUGAUCUUUUGCAGGGAGGGAGGCUGUGUACAUGCAGAUAAGGAGUCAUGGGGCCUCUCAGCACAAGGGACUUAGAACAGAACAUGGACUUGUGUUAAGUGGUGUGUGGGAAGUUUCAAGGAAGCAGGGGUUUGCUCUGGAUCGAAUGGUGUCAGGAAGCAGGAUUCUACCACCAGGAACUUUGGUUUUUAUACAGAAGGUGAGAUGAAGGCAUCAGACCUAAAGCCGUGGUUGUGAAGAGACAGCUGUCACUUGGGUUAGUUGAGUGAUUUCUCUCGUGUGGUCAGAGGCUUAGUUUGUCCCUGUGCUCAGACAUGACUACAGAAUGGUCUUGUUUUGUCAGGCUUGUCUGAAGUUGGUGAUGGGUGAGACUAGCUCUGUUUGAGAGGAGAACGUGGCACCUAGCUCUGAGUGCCUGGCUGGUGGGAGCUUGAUGCCAGGGACUACUUUCGUCUUUGUCAUUACAAACGCAAAGCUUUGAUCCUCCAGUUCCAGUCUUCUUUAUAUCCUAGUCCUGUAUCUUCAUGAUGGGAUAAGGAUCCUCACAUUUGAAGAGGAGGAGGAGGGACGGAUGAGAAUGAGGAGGGGGAUUUGCUUAUGGUGGGGGUGGGGUAAAAUAGUGUCUUAGCUUAGAGGAUUCAUAUCUCUGUAACCUAAAUGGAUCCAGGAUUCCAUUCCUCUGCCUGAAUAGAAUGAUAUUCCAAAGCCAUAUUAAGCAGACAAGGGAAGGAAUUAGGAUAACCUUUGUAUUGUAGGUGCCUUGUGAAUUACUGGAGGAAGUUCCAGGUCGAAGGGUGGGGCAGGCAUAAGAAGUGGCCA
This is a long non-coding RNA of Bos taurus (domestic cattle), 2191 nucleotides long. Lineage: Eukaryota; Metazoa; Chordata; Mammalia; Artiodactyla; Bovidae. The record is from Ensembl.